AUACGGAGGGGGUUAGCGUUGUUCGGAAUUACGGGGCGUAAAGCGCACGUAGGCGGAUUAAAAAGUUAGAGGUGAAAUCCCAGGGCUCAACCCUGGAACUGCCUUUAAAACUAGUAGUCUAGAGUUCGAGAGAGGUGAGUGGAAUUCCAAGUGUAGAGGUGAAAUUCGUAGAUAUUUGGAGGAACACCAGUGGCGAAGGCGGCUCACUGGCUCGAUACUGACGCUGAGGUGCGAAAGCGUGGGGAGCAAACAGGAUUAGAAACCCCAGUAGUCC
RNAcentral lists this ribosomal RNA (274 nucleotides) under uncultured bacterium. RNAcentral's name for it is "partial 16S ribosomal RNA". It matches the Rfam family "Bacterial small subunit ribosomal RNA", at positions 523 to 796 of the family's 1533-position model. The record is from RNAcentral.